Molecule: ribosomal RNA, 223 nt
Filed under: uncultured archaeon
Lineage: Archaea
Description: partial 16S ribosomal RNA
Rfam family: Archaeal small subunit ribosomal RNA
Source: RNAcentral
AACUGGGGCUAAUACCGGAUAGGCAAUUAUUCCUGCAAUGGUUUUUUGUUUAAAUGUUUUUUCGCCUAAGGAUGGGUCUGCGGCCGAUUAGGUAGUUGGUUAGGUGAUGGCUUACCAAGCCGUUGAUCGGUACGGGUUGUGAGAGCAAGAGCCCGGAGAUGGAACCUGAGACAAGGUUCCAGGCCCUACGGGGUGCAGCAGGCGCGAAACCUCCGCAAUGUGA